Non-coding RNA from Leptonychotes weddellii (Weddell seal), 465 nucleotides. NCBI's taxonomy places the organism in Eukaryota, Metazoa, Chordata, Mammalia, Carnivora, Phocidae. The record is from the annotation of a RefSeq genome assembly.
AGACAACUCACCAUGGAGUUUGUGUUUCAUUGGGUUUUCUUUGUUGCUAUUUUUAAAGGUGUCCAGUGUGAGGUGCAGCUGGUGGAGUCUGGGGGAGACCUGGUGAAGCCUGGCGGGUCCCUGAGACUCUCCUGUGCAGCCUCUGGAUUCACCUUCAGUAGCUAUUGCAUGAGCUGGGUUCGCCAGGCUCCAGGGAAGGGGCUGCAGUGGGUCGCAGUUAUUAGCUAUAAUGGAAGUAGCAAAAGAUACGCAGACUCUGUGAAGGGCCAAUUCACCAUCUCCAGAGACAACGUCAAGAACACACUGUAUCUGCAGAUGAACAGCCUGAGAGCAGAGGACACGGCCGUGUAUUACUGUGCGAAGGACACAGUGAGGGGAAGUCAGUGUGAGCCCAGACACAAACCUCACUGUAGAAGGGGAUCUGGUCACCAGGGGGUGCACACUACUCCCCAUUUCUGUCCUUAA